UUCAAAGGGUUUUAUAUCAGAAAUAUGGGCUUAUUUCAACCAAACUGCCCAAAACUAACUUCGAUGCAUGCAUGUACGUUGUAUGGAACCCACACAACAGCCUUCACAGAUAAAUGAAAUGAUUACCUUCAUUGCAUUUGUGGUGUUUUAUUCAAUUUUAUAGGAUUUGAAA
Molecule: long non-coding RNA, 172 nt
Organism: Etheostoma cragini (Arkansas darter)
Lineage: Eukaryota; Metazoa; Chordata; Actinopteri; Perciformes; Percidae
Exons: 4
Source: RefSeq, a predicted model, not a curated record